AAAUUGAAGAGUUUGAUCAUGGCUCAGAUUGAACGCUGGCGGCAGGCCUAACACAUGCAAGUCGAACGGUAACAGGAAGCAGCUUGCUGCUUUGCUGAUGAGUGGCGGACGGGUGAGUAAUGUCUGGGAAACUGCCUGAUGGAGGGGGAUAACUACUGGAAACGGUAGCUAAUACCGCAUAACGUCGCAAGACCAAAGAGGGGGACCUUAGGGCCUCUUGCCAUCGGAUGUGCCCAGAUGGGAUUAGCUAGUAGGUGGGGUAAAGGCUCACCUAGGCGACGAUCCCUAGCUGGUCUGAGAGGAUGACCAGCCACACUGGAACUGAGACACGGUCCAGACUCCUACGGGAGGCAGCAGUGGGGAAUAUUGCACAAUGGGCGCAAGCCUGAUGCAGCCAUGCCGCGUGUAUGAAGAAGGCCUUCGGGUUGUAAAGUACUUUCAGCGGGGAGGAAGGGAGUAAAGUUAAUACCUUUGCUCAUUGACGUUACCCGCAGAAGAAGCACCGGCUAACUCCGUGCCAGCAGCCGCGGUAAUACGGAGGGUGCAAGCGUUAAUCGGAAUUACUGGGCGUAAAGCGCACGCAGGCGGUUUGUUAAGUCAGAUGUGAAAUCCCCGGGCUCAACCUGGGAACUGCAUCUGAUACUGGCAAGCUUGAGUCUCGUAGAGGGGGGUAGAAUUCCAGGUGUAGCGGUGAAAUGCGUAGAGAUCUGGAGGAAUACCGGUGGCGAAGGCGGCCCCCUGGACGAAGACUGACGCUCAGGUGCGAAAGCGUGGGGAGCAAACAGGAUUAGAUACCCUGGUAGUCCACGCCGUAAACGAUGUCGACUUGGAGGUUGUGCCCUUGAGGCGUGGCUUCCGGAGCUAACGCGUUAAGUCGACCGCCUGGGGAGUACGGCCGCAAGGUUAAAACUCAAAUGAAUUGACGGGGGCCCGCACAAGCGGUGGAGCAUGUGGUUUAAUUCGAUGCAACGCGAAGAACCUUACCUGGUCUUGACAUCCACGGAAGUUUUCAGAGAUGAGAAUGUGCCUUCGGGAACCGUGAGACAGGUGCUGCAUGGCUGUCGUCAGCUCGUGUUGUGAAAUGUUGGGUUAAGUCCCGCAACGAGCGCAACCCUUAUCCUUUGUUGCCAGCGGUCCGGCCGGGAACUCAAAGGAGACUGCCAGUGAUAAACUGGAGGAAGGUGGGGAUGACGUCAAGUCAUCAUGGCCCUUACGACCAGGGCUACACACGUGCUACAAUGGCGCAUACAAAGAGAAGCGACCUCGCGAGAGCAAGCGGACCUCAUAAAGUGCGUCGUAGUCCGGAUUGGAGUCUGCAACUCGACUCCAUGAAGUCGGAAUCGCUAGUAAUCGUGGAUCAGAAUGCCACGGUGAAUACGUUCCCGGGCCUUGUACACACCGCCCGUCACACCAUGGGAGUGGGUUGCAAAAGAAGUAGGUAGCUUAACCUUCGGGAGGGCGCUUACCACUUUGUGAUUCAUGACUGGGGUGAAGUCGUAACAAGGUAACCGUAGGGGAACCUGCGGUUGGAUCACCUCCUU
Molecule: ribosomal RNA, 1541 nt
Filed under: Escherichia coli
Lineage: Bacteria; Pseudomonadati; Pseudomonadota; Gammaproteobacteria; Enterobacterales; Enterobacteriaceae
Description: bacterial SSU rRNA
Rfam family: Bacterial small subunit ribosomal RNA
Source: RNAcentral